This is a long non-coding RNA of Falco peregrinus (peregrine falcon), 819 nucleotides long. RefSeq lists it as uncharacterized. Lineage: Eukaryota; Metazoa; Chordata; Aves; Falconiformes; Falconidae. The record is from RefSeq and is a predicted model, not a curated record. The transcript has 3 exons.
CUUUGUUAUCGUGAUCCUGUUGCCAGGACUGGAAGAAAAAUGAGUUUGCUGGUGUGUGUUAAACCACAACAGCUUUAUAUGCAGGUAAAUCAUUACAGUUUGCUGCCACAGUAAUCCUAUACAUUUUAUAUAUAUAUAUUUUGACAUCAUUAUCACAUUUGCAGCAAUAGUGUUUCUACAACAGUUCUGCACAAAAUAUUUGUAGUUCUGGUGUCACCCAAGAUUAAUAAUGUAGACACCGCUAUACUGGCAACAGGGUUGUUCCUUGUAAACCUUUUUUGCAGUUUUCCUGCCAGUCCUUAACAAUAUGCCUCCAGAAGCCUGAGCACGGAUGUUUGGGGUACCGUUCGCUUUGUCCCUGGGUGCUACCAAAGUGCAAGCUGUUUGAAACAGAAAAGCUAAACGAUGGUAACUCAACAGCAAAACAGGACCGUGCCUUAUGCUCGUACUCUCCUGCCUCCUCCCUGGCACUGAAGGCAGAGAAGUUUGCUGCUCUCCCUUGUCACUUGGCACAUUCUGGCAAUGUGAAACUUUGGUCACAAAGGAUUGUCAGUUGUUGGUCUGUUCAAGGUGAUGGAGGAACAGGAAUCUGCAGUCUUCGUAGCUGGACUUUAUUGAGAAUUCAGGGUUUCUGACUGCGUUAACAAGACACCUUUGUACACAGCACUAUUAAGUUCCUAUUUCAAAUUUUGAUGCUUUGCUGUAUCACUAUUGACAGAAAGUCACCAAAAGCUUUACAGUUGCAGAAGGUAACAUUUUCACAAAGAAAACGUAUUGUUUUCAUUUCUCAACCUACCAUACAAAACACGGUGUUUAAAA